This 319-nucleotide ribosomal RNA is filed under the name uncultured eukaryote. Its description in RNAcentral is "partial 18S ribosomal RNA". It matches the Rfam family "Eukaryotic small subunit ribosomal RNA", at positions 1470 to 1796 of the family's 1831-position model. The record is from RNAcentral.
CCCUUAGAUGGUCUGGGCGACACGCGCGCUACAAUGAUGCAUUCAAAAAGUCUUCUGACCUUAGAAGGUUGGGUAUUCUCCAAAGUGCAUCGUGAUGGGAAUAGUUUAUUGCAAUUUUUAAUCUUGAACGAGGAAUUCCUAGUAAGUACAGGUCAUCAACUUGUGUUGAUUACGUCCCUGCCCUUUGUACACACCGCCCGUCGCUCCUACUGAUUGAGUGUCUCGGUGAAUUCUUUGAUCUUCUGUCGAUUCAGUUCACUGAUCCGACGGUGGAAAGUUGAAUGAACUUCGUCACUUAGAGGAAGGAGAAGUCGUAACA